RNAcentral lists this ribosomal RNA (440 nucleotides) under uncultured bacterium. Its description in RNAcentral is "partial 16S ribosomal RNA". It matches the Rfam family "Bacterial small subunit ribosomal RNA", at positions 338 to 795 of the family's 1533-position model. The record is from RNAcentral.
CCUACGGGAGGCAGCAGUGGGGAAUAUUGCACAAUGGGGGAAACCCUGAUGCAGCGACGCCGCGUGAGUGAAGAAGUAUCUCGGUACGUAAAGCUCUAUCAGCAGGGAAGAAAAUGACGGUACCUGACUAAGAAGCCCCGGCUGACUACGUGCCAGCAGCCGCGGUAAUACGUAGGGGGCAAGCGUUAUCCGGAUUUAAUGGGGGUAAAGGGAGCGUAGACGGGAGCACAAGUCUGGAGUGAAAUCCCGGGGCUUAACCCCGGAACUGCUUUUGAAACUGUGCGGCUGGAGUGCAGGAGGGGUAAGCGGAAUUCCUAGUGGAGCGGUGAAAUGCGUAGAUAUUAGGGGGAACACCGGUGGCGAAGGCGGCUUACUGGACUGUAACUGACGUUGAGGCUCGAAAGCGUGGGGAGCAAACAGGAUUAGAUACCCGUGUAGUC